RNAcentral lists this ribosomal RNA (480 nucleotides) under uncultured bacterium. RNAcentral describes it as "bacterial SSU rRNA". It matches the Rfam family "Bacterial small subunit ribosomal RNA", at positions 28 to 509 of the family's 1533-position model. The record is from RNAcentral.
GACGAACGCUGGCGGCGUGCUUAACACAUGCAAGUCGAACGAUGAAGUUAUGACGGAGGCUUCGGCCGACAGAAUAAUGGAAUAGUGGCGGACGGGUGAGUAACGCGUGAGUAACCUGCCUUUCAGAGAGGAAUAACAUUUGGAAACGAAUGGUAAUACCACAUAACAUUACGUUCUCGCAUGGGGAUGUAAUCAAAGAUUUUAUCGCUGAGAGAUGGACUCGCGUCCGAUUAGCUGGAUGGUGAGGUAACGGCCCACCAUGGCGACGAUCGGUAGCCGGACUGAGAGGUUGAACGGCCACAUUGGGACUGAGACACGGCCCAGACUCCUACGGGAGGCAGCAGUGGGGAAUAUUGCACAAUGGGGGAAACCCUGAUGCAGCAACGCCGCGUGAAGGAAGACGGUCUUCGGAUUGAAACUUUGUUCUUGGUGAGAAAAUGACGUAGCCAAGGAGGAAGCCUAACGGGCUAACUACGUGCC